This is a long non-coding RNA of Pan troglodytes (chimpanzee), 531 nucleotides long. RefSeq lists it as uncharacterized. The transcript is spliced from 3 exons. The record is from RefSeq and is a predicted model, not a curated record. NCBI's taxonomy places the organism in Eukaryota, Metazoa, Chordata, Mammalia, Primates, Hominidae.
CCAGAGUAGACCCUAGAAAGAGGUUUUUGGCUCCUCCAAACAUCUUUUCCCUCAUUCUUCAACCCAGCCUAGCAUGCAGCCUUUAUAGCUCAUGGAGCCAUAUUUAUUUGCUUAAUUUGGAUGAUCUCCUGUAAUUCACCAAGAGUUUCAUGAACAUCUAUGAACCCUGCAGGUCUUGCUAUGUCUUGUUGACCCAGGAUCUGGCACAGGCUCAUCUUAGGGACCCAAAAAAGAAACCUGCUGAUUAUGGACCAGGUGAACAAUGACAAGAAGGGCUAUUACCUGGGGAAGUUUCAGAAGUCUAAGAAAGGUUUCCGGGCUUCAGCCAUCCUAUCAAUUCUGUGGUGAAUAAAUUAUUAUCCUUUAAUCUCAAUCUCAGUAUCAGGAUACUGGCUUGUCCUAGGUUCCUAGAAGAGUGCUUGGAACAUGCUUGGCCCUCAAUAGCCAUUUGUUGAAUGAAUGAGUGACAGUAUGGGAGAAGCAUCUAGGCUGUAUGGCAUCUGUGCACUUGCUUCCUUCUCUCCAUUUCCC